CGUAGGUGGCAAGCGUUGUCCGGAUUUAUUGGGUUUAAAGGGUGCGUAGGCGGUCUUGUAAGUCAGUGGUGAAAUCCGGCAGCUUAACUGUCGAUGUGCCAUUGAUACUGGAAGACUUGAGUACAGACGAGGUAGGCGGAAUUGACGGUGUAGCGGUGAAAUGCUUAGAUAUCGUCAAGAACACCGAUAGCGAAGGCAGCUUACUAGACUGUAACUGACGCUGAUGCACGAAAGUGUGGGGAUCAAACAGGAUUAGAUACCCUGGUAGUCCACACUGUAAACGAUGAUUACUCGAUGUUGGCGAUACACAGCCAGCGUCUUAGCGAAAGCGAUAAGUAAUCCACCUGGGGAGUACGCCGGCAACGGUG
Molecule: ribosomal RNA, 368 nt
Filed under: uncultured organism
Description: bacterial SSU rRNA
Rfam family: Bacterial small subunit ribosomal RNA
Source: RNAcentral